CCUACGGGAGGCAGCAGUGAGGAAUAUUGGUCAAUGGGCGCGAGCCUGAACCAGCCAAGCCGCGUGAGGGAAGAAGGUCCUAUGGAUUGUAAACCUCUUUUGUCGGGGAGCAAAAACUGCCACGCGUGGCGUUAUGAGUGUACCCGAAGAAAAAGCAUCGGCUAACUCCGUGCCAGCAGCCGCGGUAAUACGGAGGAUGCGAGCGUUAUCCGGAUUUAUUGGGUUUAAAGGGUGCGCAGGCGGAAGAUUAAGUCAGCGGUAAAAGUGAGAGGCUCAACCUCUUCCAGCAGUUGAAACUGGUUGUCUUGAGUUCGCGAGAGGUAUGCGGAAUGCGUGGUGUAGCGGGGAAAUGCAGAGAUAUCGCGAAGAACUCCGAUUGCGAAGGCAGAAUACCGGCUCGCAACUGACGCUGAGGCACGAAAGUGUGGGUAUCGAACAGGAUUAGAUACCCUGGUAGUC
Molecule: ribosomal RNA, 459 nt
Filed under: uncultured bacterium
Lineage: Bacteria
Description: partial 16S ribosomal RNA
Rfam family: Bacterial small subunit ribosomal RNA
Source: RNAcentral